UUUCCGUAGGUGAACCUGCGGAAGGAUCAUUCACAAUAUGUGUUUCAUGGUACUUUUUAAACAACGUUUAUCUAACUCCGGUGCAACGUUAUGAGACCCUCUAUCGCUAUCUUUUAGGUUACGCACUGGGGAACCUCUACAACUUACCAACAUCACCCUUAACUUAUUUGUCUGCACAUUUGUUACCACGAAUUAACUUAAUUCAAAAAUACAACUGUCAACAACGGAUCUCUUGUCUCUCGCGACCAUGAAAAACGCAGCAGAUCGAAGGAGCACCCC
Molecule: unclassified non-coding RNA, 279 nt
Filed under: plant metagenome
Description: partial contains small subunit ribosomal RNA, internal transcribed spacer 1, and 5.8S ribosomal RNA
Source: RNAcentral